CAGCAGCAGCCGCGGUAAUACGAAGGGUGCAAGCGUUAAUCGGAAUUACUGGGCGUAAAGCGCGCGUAGGUGGUUCAUUAAGUUGGAUGUGAAAGCCCUGGGCUCAACCUGGGAACUGCAUCCAAAACUGGUGAGCUAGAGUACGGUAGAGGGUAGUGGAAUUUCCUGUGUAGCGGUGAAAUGCGUAGAUAUAGGAAGGAACACCAGUGGCGAAGGCGACUACCUGGACUGAUACUGACACUGAGGUGCGAAAGCGUGGGGAGCAAACAGGAUUAGAUACCCGCGUAGUCCCUGUCUCUUAUAC
Molecule: ribosomal RNA, 304 nt
Filed under: uncultured bacterium
Lineage: Bacteria
Description: partial 16S ribosomal RNA
Rfam family: Bacterial small subunit ribosomal RNA
Source: RNAcentral